RNAcentral lists this ribosomal RNA (468 nucleotides) under uncultured bacterium. RNAcentral describes it as "partial 16S ribosomal RNA". It matches the Rfam family "Bacterial small subunit ribosomal RNA", at positions 28 to 507 of the family's 1533-position model. The record is from RNAcentral.
GACGAACGCUGGCGGCGUUCUUAACACAUGCAAGUCGAACGGACAGGCCCUGCUUUUGUGGGGUGCUCGAGUGGCGAACGGGUGUGUAACACGUGAGUAACCUGCCCUUGACUUUGGGAUAAAUUCAGGGAACUGGGGCUAUUACCGGGUAGGAGCUCCUGCUGCAUGGUGGGGGUUGGAAAGUUUCGGCCGUUGUGGAUGGACUCGCGGCUUAUCAGCUUGUUGGGGGGGUAGUGGCUUACCAAGGCUUUGACGGGUAGCCGGCCUGAGAGGGGGACCGGCGACAUUGGGACUAAGAGACGGCCCAGAAUCCAACGGGAGGCAGAGGGGGGGAAUAUUGCAGAAUGGGCGGAAGCCUGAUGCAGCAACGCCGCGUGCGGGAUGACGGCCUUCGGGUUGUAAACCGCUUUGGACGGUGAAGAAGCGGGAGUGACGGUAACGGAUAAAAAAGCACCGGCUAACUACGUG